AAAUACAAGGAUGUUUUAAUAUGCAAAACUUAAUCAAAGCAAUAUUCAUUACAUUAAACAGAAAAAGGAUAAGAACCAUAGGAUCAUCUCAAGAGAUCUAGAAAACCACAUUUGAUAACAUUAAUACAUGCUUAUGAUAAAAACUAUCAGCAGAGCUGAUAUUAAAAUAUCUAAAACAGUCUCUAAAAUUUAGUUAAUGUCAUAUUUAACGGUAACUUGUAACACGUAACACUUUCUUCUAGCUCAGAAUUUUUAAAAAGGAUGACAUAAAAACCUAAUUUAUUGACUAUUGAUGUGUAGCCACUGUUAUAUUUUAGGAAACAUUUAAAAAUAUAUAAGCAUCAGAAAGAAAAAGGUAAAUAAUGUCAUUACAGGUUGAACAUCAUUUUUCUGAAAAGUUUGGAACCCGAAGUGUUUUGAAUUUCAAAUUUUGACAGAUUUGGAAUAUAUGCAUUACCCAGUAGAGCCCCAUAAUUCCGAAAUCUGAAAUUCAGAAUGCUCUAAUGAGCAUUUACUUUGAGCAACAUGUCAGCUUUCAGAAAGUUUCAGAUUUUGGAGCAAUUUGGAUUUGGGAUUUUCAGAUUAGGGAUAUUCAACCUGCAUUUGUAAAUAAGCUGAAUUUGCAUAUAGAAAAUAUAAAAGCUACAUAGUUGUUUCCUCCUUUCAUAGGUCCCCAGGCCCAAGUGGAUACUUACAACCAUGAAUAGUACAAACCCAAGCUAUACUAUACACACUUUUUGCUUUUUCACAAUUUCACAGAUAGAUUUGUUCUUAUGGAAGCUUUUAGCAACCUAAGCAUAAGUUUUUUUAUUUCUUUAUUUAGUAGAGAACUUUCACCUUUUCACUUAAAGGAAGCACUUUACAGCAUCUCUUUGGCAUGUUUAAUUGUGACAUUUGACAGACAUCCUUGCAGUUUAAGAUGACACUUUUAAAAUAAAUUCUCUCCUAAUGAUGACUUGAGCCCUGCCACUCAAUGGGAGAAUCAGCAGAACCUGUAGGAUCUUAUUUGGAAUUGACAUUCUCUAUUGUAAUUUUGUUCCUGUUUAUUUUUAAAUUUUCUUUUUGUUUCACUGGAAAGGAAAGAUGAUGCUCAGUUUUAAACGUUAAAAGUGUACAAGUUGCUUUGUUACAAUAAAACUAAAUGUGUACACAAAGGAUUUGAUGCUCUUCUCUCAGCACAGGUCUGCUCACUAUGACCUUCCAAGUUUGACUUGUACAACAUCACUGUCAAACUUUGUCACCCUAACUUCGUAUUUUUUGAUACGCACUUUACAGGAUGACCUCAGGGCUAUGUGGAUUGAGUAACGGGAUCUGAAUUAAUGUAUUGAUACUGCCAUAGCUGGGAAAGUGGGUACAAUUUGCCAUUGGUUUCUGAAAGUACUCACAUCAUUUGGGAUACCAGAUUGCUCAAUACUUUGAGUAUAUUGUGCCCUUGAUUUUUAUCUCCAAGUGGCAGUUUUUAAAAUUGGCCAUUUACCUGGAUAUAAAAUAAUAGUACCUGCCACCACCAUCCAACAGACCUGGUGCUCUCAUGCCAAGUUAUAUGUGGGACAGUUACUGGCAUGUCUUCAUUGGCUAUAUAAAAUGUGGCCAAGGAGAUAGGCUCUCAGAGUAGGAGUCUGCAAUGGUCGGCGGUAACUGUCCCAGCUCUCUGGUAUAAAGUUCUCAAAUGUGACUAUGUGAAUCUGGGUGGAAUAAUGGACUCAGCUCUGUCUGCUCAAUGCCAUUGUGCAGAGAAGCACCCUAAUGCAUAAGCUUUUUAAUGCUGUAAAAUAUAGUAGCUGAAAUUAAAUGACACUUUUUCAGAGGUGAAUUAAUGGACAGUCUGGUGAAAUUCAAAAGCUUUUUGAUGUAUAAAACUUGAUAAAUGGAACUAUUCCAUCAAUAGGCAAAAGUGUAACAACCUGUCUAGAUUGAUAGUAUGUAAUUUCCGCACAGGUCUCUGUUUAGUAAAUACUUCACUGUAUACCGAUCAGGAAUCUUGCUCCAAUAAAGGAACAUAAAGAUUUAAAAAAAAAAAAAAAAAGAAGAAAAAUAGUAACAAUCCUACUGAAAAUGUUUCACAAAACUAAGGAGAAAGGAAUUCUCCUUAACUCAUUUUACAAAUCCAGUAUCCCCCUAAUACCAAUGCCAGACAGGUACAAAAUAAAAAAAGAAAACCAUUGCCAAUAUCCCUGAUAAAUAUAGAUUCAAACAUCCACAAUAAAACUAGCAUUGAAUACAACAGGAUAUCAAAAUGACAAUGCACCCUGUUCCAGUGAGUUUUAUUUCAAGGAUGCAAAGAUUAUUCC
Molecule: long non-coding RNA, 2291 nt
Filed under: Callithrix jacchus (white-tufted-ear marmoset)
Lineage: Eukaryota; Metazoa; Chordata; Mammalia; Primates; Cebidae
Description: lncRNA (ENSCJAG00000078515.1)
Source: RNAcentral